This 1429-nucleotide long non-coding RNA is filed under the name Zea mays. RNAcentral's name for it is "long non-coding RNA (ZMAY_LNC001038)". The record is from RNAcentral. Lineage: Eukaryota; Viridiplantae; Streptophyta; Magnoliopsida; Poales; Poaceae.
AGCAUAUGCUCUAUUUUAUAACCAACCGGCGGUCUAUCUGGGGAGGAGAGAGCGGUUUCCGAGUCGUCGCAUCAGGUCCGAUCCGCUCGAUUCGCCGGCGGCGCCACCAACCAGCAAGGUGAUGCCUCCUCCUUCCUCUUCCCCAAUUAGUUCCGAUGGUGCCGUCGGGGAGGGUGCCGAUGGGUUGGCGGAUUUUAACCCCACAUCAAUGGAGUGACGCCUACCUCUGAAAUGGGGACACGCCGACCUCGGCGUCGAUCCUGCCCCGAACGUCGAGCAGGAGGCCCCUGAGCCUCGCCACCUCCGCCUCCAGAGCCACGUGGUCCUGUAGCAGAGACCUGUAGUAGGCAUCGAUAGCAGAGACCUGUAGCAUGCAUGGUCCUGUAGCAGAAACUUGUAGUGUGCUCCGACUAGGUCUUCGACGCGGGUUUCAUUCUCCACCGACGACUCGCGGCAUCGACAUCGCGUGCUUGGUGUUCAUCGAUUUCGGGAUUUCGGGUGGACGUCCGAUCUGGUGGUGUAGGCAGUGGUGACCAGAGACCUGUAGCAGAACAAGGUUUACUGGGGAGAAAUAGCCGUAAUAGAAUGUAAUACAGGUUUACCUGUAGCAGAACAAGGUUUACCUUGUAUAGGAGUAAUAGAAUGUAAUAGAAAUAGCUGUAAUAGAGACCUUGUAUAGGAGUAAGCUGGCACCUAUCUGGCACCUAUUACAGGUUUACCAGAGACCUGUAAUAGAAUGUAAUACUGUUAACUAAACACAUCGACAUCCCGAAAUCCUGAAAUCCCGAAAUCCCGAAAUAGGAGUAAAUUCUAUUAUCUGCCAUUUCUAGUAGUGAUGGUAACAUCAUUUCUGUUACUCAACACAUCGACAUUUACUGACACAUCUACUUUCGCAUAGGAGUAAGCUGGCUGCUUUGGUUCUGGCAAAGUGACGCUAUCGCUGAUAAGAACUGCAACGACAUCAGGCAUUGUGGGACGAUCUACUGUUUUUUCUUGAACACACAGCAAGGCCACAACAAGGUAUUUCAUCAGCUCUUCCAGUUCGUAGUCAUCUCCAAAGGAUUGAUCAAUGAACUCAUUCCAUCUUCUAUCCUUCCACAGUUCCCAGGCCUGAAAAGAAAAUUGAUUCAUUACAUGUGUAUGGUGGUAUAGCUUUAGCUGUUAGAUGUAUCUACAACUGCUAGUGCUAGACAAUAGCAAUAAAACAGGGAGGUACAGGAAAACACCCUGUGCUUUGAGCCCUAUACUUCAUGGAAAGAAAUAAUGUACAACACCAUACAGAUACACUAUCAAUAGUUACUGAUAUGUUAGUAUAAUGCAAUCUUGUUAUAAGGGAAAACAUAUAUGUUUUACCAAUUCUAUAGAUUUUCGAGUCCUUGGUUGCUUACGUAUUCAAGAAGGUUGUAGAACUCUCCAUUGUGCUGAAAAC